UCCAGUUGUGAUUAUGCGCAGAGUUUCCUUGUACUGAGCUUAGUUUUCUCCACCCACUACUUAGUGAGAACUCUUUAACUAGAAGACUAACAACUUAAAGCUUUAUCCCUGUGAGUACCAGAAAAGUGAUCUGAGUAUUUAUUAAACAGAGAGAACAAACUGCCUACUUCAGGCAGGGAGGAAGCGUAUGGAAAUUAUAUUAGAACUUCAGCAAAGUGCAGAGCUGCAUAAUACAGAAGCUGGGACUCAAAUUGACAGGCUAAUAAGCCAGCUCACUGAAGGGGGCUCUGUGUGGCAGCUCUGAGCUACUAAGUGUUGGACAACUAUAGGCAAAAUGUGAAAUGGAACAGGGCAGAAAAUAACACACUAACUUCAGGCAACUGUUGCUUUCUCCUGGUCUUCAGGGAUUUUACAUUCUGUAGCUGGCAAAACAAGUCCCCAUUUAAAUAUUAAGCUUACUACACUAAUGAAUCACCAUUCUGAGUGGAAUUAUGCUUCAUUCUUCUGUUGCAGACUGUGAAGUACUUGUUCCCUGGAACUGCACCUGUUCAGCAUGACACCCUGCUUUCCUGGUGAUGUCACAUGCAGCACUGACUAUAAUUGGAGAAUGGAACCUCUUUGUGGGUGCAAGGUGGAUGACUGCCGUUAUGACUUUUGCAAAAAGAUCCUUUUUGUUUCACAGAUUAGGGGAGUGAAAUCAUUACUGGAUACAGAAAAGAAAAUAAACUAAUCCACACUCAUGAGACACCUGGCUCCCAGCCAGGCAAAGGAGAAAAUAAGGACAGGAAAUCUCUUAGCUGCAUGGUGGAUUGGAGCUGACGUAUCCUGCUCUCACUGUGGUGUAGAAAGCAGUCUGUUACAGUGCUGGAUUAAUCAAAGGGGCCUUUAUGGUUUGUGAAAGAAUAUCUGUGUGCUUAGGCAGGAAACUUUUUGAUCCACAGAAAAGCCAGACGACAUCUAGGACCAGACAAGACAAUUUUAGACUCACGCUUAUUGUGAUAUCCUCAGUGCUUGUUAUCGUAUAUUCUUCAGAGGUCUGCCCACUAUGAUAAAUUGUACAGCUGAACCGCUUCCUGAAGAGCACUGAAUUUUCUAUACCAGAUUCUACUUCAGUGGCCAGGACCUUUAUGGCCACUGAUUCUUUUGCUCUGGGUUCUGAAAAAACAUCGUGGAUCCAUCCCUAAAGUAGAAAUGUUCUUUUCCGUCCCGCAAGCAAGGCUAAAGAUUGGAGGAGAAUGAAUGUGAAUCUAAUUCAGGAUUGCGGUCGUGCCAUUAAAAGUUUUCAGCUUCAGAACAAAAUGAUUUGGGAAAUAUGAUCAGUUUUCUUACUCUAUCAACAAUGUUUAAAAGUUGUAGGUGGUUCAAGUGACUUGACUCAAAUAACGACAAUCUUUGCAUGUCAAUAAUGGCUACAGUUUAAGGAGUGAAAGAUAGUUUUGAGUUUGGAAAAGAAGAAACUGUUAAUAUCAGCCUGUAAUGGGAUUAAAUGUUGAAUAUGGGGAAGAGGCAAAAAGCAAAUAGAUGCCCGAAAGUUAUCCUUGCACUGAGGAUGGGUUUAAAGUGCUGUAUAUCCUAGGGCCCACCUUACUGAAGAGGUAUAAUGGGGAAAUAUUUCAAUUAGAAACCCAUUAACAAGCAUUUAAUCCUUCUUUAAGGCAUUAGAGGAAAUAGAAUAAAACAUUUACUGUACAAAUCUGCUGCAAGCAGACUUUAACCCAUUUAUAGACUUAUCCUUCUGAUGUAUUGUACUAUGGCUACUCAUGAGUCAGGAUAGUAAAGAUUUUAUUUGUACUCCUUUUUUCCAAAGUUGUGGAAUCUAUUCUAAGAAGUGUCUUGAUCAAUCAGCUGAUAUUAUUGUUUUGAAUGUCUGUGUGUAUAUUGUCUACUUAUUUGAUCUUUUCCAACCCCUACUUGAAAAGGUGGGUUUUUUAUACAACAGCAACAAAAGUUUUACUGAAUGUAAUCUUGACGACUAAGUGAUUCAGAUUAUUUGAAGAAGAAUUCUACUGGAUCAUAUCGGACUUUUCCUAGUCCCUGAGACCCUAACUUGUGAGGUUUUUUAGCAACAAUCACAAGUCAGGCUCUUGGGACCUAGGCGGAGGGGAACCAGCAGCUUUGGACUUUAUUGAUUGUUUAUCUGCAAUAUUAACAGAACCAAAGGAGAUUUUCUUAUCUGGGGGAAAAUAUUUAUUUCAGAUGUUAAGCAUUAGUGUUAUGCUACAAAAAAAUUGCUGCUAUGUAUUGUACAAUAUAAAGAUUCUACAUAAUUUGUAUGUUUGGAAACCUAUAUUGUAGUGGAUAACAUGUAACAUUUCAAAUUAAAAUUUAAAAUGAAUGACAGAUAUCUACAUAAAAAAAUCAAGUACUGAAGGAUAAAUGCACUGUUUUCAACCAUAAGUUGCUAUUAUGGAUCCUUCUGGUGGAUAAUAAAACAAAACACAUUUCCAGAUGUAUUGCUAUAAUAUUUAAUGAACUUUUUGAAACUUUACAAAUUAUAUAUUGAUCUGUGAGGCCUAGCAAAUGCAUUCAUACUGUUGUCUUUGGGGUAAUAAUCUGAGCAUGCAAGAAAACUGUUGCUUCUUUUUUCCUGUAAGGCUGUGCAGAGAUUCCUUUAUAGUUGUUACUAUUUCUCUUAGUCUAUAUAAUAAUACAAUACAGGUUCUCAUUUGGUGUAUUAACCUCUUACUCUGAAAGAAAAGAGAAAGCUGGUGUCAAAUUCAUAAUGCUGUGUUGAAGUCACUUUGCACACAGAACUACAUACUUUUCAUCUACUUACUGUAUCUCAGCAGAGAAGACCGGACACCAGGAAUUAGGCUCAAACUUUAGUCUCUUCCCUCACUUUUUACUUUUCACUUAUAAAAACAGACUAACUGUUGUGUUGUCCCCAUAUGCUGAAUACUUCAGUGACUUCAGCAUAAGAUUUACCAGGACACAGCUACUUUGUAAUGUCUAUCACUCCUAAAGUGCUGAACCAGAACACAGAACAUUUGACUGUAUUUCUUAAUAUUUUAUAAGUAGUUUGGUCCUGAUUAAUUUUUGUUUGUUUCCUGUAUCUAACCCAAGAUGGUGCAGCACCCUGUUAAUAGUGUACUAAUGUCACACUUCACUGAUUGAAACAAAGGCUUUACUUAGGGCAAGCAUCUAAACAAUUUGGUCAUUUUGAAACUGAUAUUUUGGCUCCAGUUUAUUUUUCCCACGUAUGUGGGAGGAAUUGUGUUUUAUUGUAAUGCUAUUGUUAAAAUAAAUUAUUAUUAAACAGAAUAAUUCAAA
Molecule: long non-coding RNA, 3270 nt
Organism: Trachemys scripta elegans
Lineage: Eukaryota; Metazoa; Chordata; Testudines; Emydidae
Exons: 9
Source: RefSeq, a predicted model, not a curated record